CAGACAGUAAGGGCUACAUGGUCUUGCUGAGCUGUCCACCCAGCAAUUAGAGGGGCAUGAGAAGCUGCACAGUGACAACCACAAGGAAGUCAUCAGCAUGAGUCAUCUGCAAAUAUAGCCAACUCCAUGUCAUCUCCUUGCUUCAGCAGGGGAGAAGGUGGUUUUCCCAGAAGGAACUAGAAUAUGCCUGGCUCUGGCAGAGUUCCAGACACAAGAGAAAGACAGGGAGUUUUUGAAGUUCUCUCUCUCCUUCUGUGCAAAUUAAAGGUCCACUCAUCUUUCCAACCCUCCGACCCUGAGAGAAACACACAGCUCAGGAGUGCCAAGCAUCUCUGCACCAUUCAGUCGUGAUGUAAAUCAGGAAAAUCAAGACCCUGUUCUAAGACUUCAGUGUAGCUGAAUCAGCUGCUACAUCGGAUGAAGCAAAAGCCUGCCAUGGACUAGCUAACUGUCUACUCUGUGUCCACUGAUGGAUUCUAGCGAGAUUUAAUCAUACCUUGUGCUUCUGGCUCAGCACUCAAGUUGCUCAGGAAACGCCAGUCCUUGGACUAAUGGAAUUCACAAUCUUACCAGGACAAAGUGUUUAUUUAUAAUAAAAAGAGAAAUUUUCUAAUAAAGAGAGGCAGAUGUUAACCAUCUUGAUUCAUUUCAAAUGUGCUUGGACUAAUUCAACAAGCUUCAAAUGGAGGAUCAGAGGGCAAGCCCUGUUUUGCUUAUACCCUUCAGGGUCACAUUAAAUCCAUGUUGUGUUUUCUGCAAGAUUAGAAACAGACAGCUAAAUGAACUCAACAGCUCUGAGAUGCAACUUUUCUGCCUUGAAUAGAAAAUCCCACAGUUUGGUUUUCAUGCUUAUGAGGAAAAGUUCUUAUUUAUGCUAAACAGUCUUUUAUUCAAAAUCUCAGAUGUGGCUGGCUUAGAUGCUGAUUAUUCAACAUUCUCAUUAUUCACUAU
Molecule: long non-coding RNA, 951 nt
Filed under: Capra hircus (goat)
Lineage: Eukaryota; Metazoa; Chordata; Mammalia; Artiodactyla; Bovidae
Description: lncRNA (ENSCHIG00000007306.1)
Source: RNAcentral